RNAcentral lists this ribosomal RNA (1612 nucleotides) under Salmonella enterica subsp. enterica serovar Lubbock. Its description in RNAcentral is "partial 23S ribosomal RNA". It matches the Rfam family "Bacterial large subunit ribosomal RNA", at positions 1 to 1643 of the family's 2925-position model. The record is from RNAcentral. Lineage: Bacteria; Pseudomonadati; Pseudomonadota; Gammaproteobacteria; Enterobacterales; Enterobacteriaceae.
GGGUUGUGAGGUUAAGCGACUAAGCGUACACGGUGGAUGCCCUGGCAGUCAGAGGCGAUGAAGGGCGUGCUAAUCUGCGAUAAGCGCCGGUAAGGUGAUAUGAACCGUUAUAACCGGCGAUACCCGAAUGGGGAAACCCAGUGUGAUUCGUCACACUAUCAUUAACUGAAUCCAUAGGUUAAUGAGGCGAACCGGGGGAACUGAAACAUCUAAGUACCCCGAGGAAAAGAAAUCAACCGAGAUUCCCCCAGUAGCGGCGAGCGAACGGGGAGGAGCCCAGAGCCUGAAUCAGCAUGUGUGUUAGUGGAAGCGUCUGGAAAGGCGCGCGAUACAGGGUGACAGCCCCGUACACAAAAGCGCAUGUGCUGUGAGCUCGAUGAGUAGGGCGGGACACGUGGUAUCCUGUCUGAAUAUGGGGGGACCAUCCUCCAAGGCUAAAUACUCCUGACUGACCGAUAGUGAACCAGUACCGUGAGGGAAAGGCGAAAAGAACCCCGGCGAGGGGAGUGAAAAAGAACCUGAAACCGUGUACGUACAAGCAGUGGGAGCACAGGUUUACCUGUGUGACUGCGUACCUUUUGUAUAAUGGGUCAGCGACUUAUAUUCUGUAGCAAGGUUAACCGUAUAGGGGAGCCGUAGGGAAACCGAGUCUUAACCGGGCGUUAAGUUGCAGGGUAUAGACCCGAAACCCGGUGAUCUAGCCAUGGGCAGGUUGAAGGUUGGGUAACACUAACUGGAGGACCGAACCGACUAAUGUUGAAAAAUUAGCGGAUGACCUGUGGCUGGGGGUGAAAGGCCAAUCAAACCGGGAGAUAGCUGGUUCUCCCCGAAAGCUAUUUAGGUAGCGCCUCGUGAAUUCAUCUCCGGGGGUAGAGCACUGUUUCGGCUAGGGGGCCAUCCCGGCUUACCAACCCGAUGCAAACUGCGAAUACCGGAGAAUGUUAUCACGGGAGACACACGGCGGGUGCUAACGUCCGUCGUGAAGAGGGAAACAACCCAGACCGCCAGCUAAGGUCCCAAAGUCAUGGUUAAGUGGGAAACGAUGUGGGAAGGCCCAGACAGCCAGGAUGUUGGCUUAGAAGCAGCCAUCAUUUAAAGAAAGCGUAAUAGCUCACUGGUCGAGUCGGCCUGCGCGGAAGAUGUAACGGGGCUAAACCAUGCACCGAAGCUGCGGCAGCGACACUGUGUGUUGUUGGGUAGGGGAGCGUUCUGUAAGCCUGUGAAGGUGGCCUGUGAGGGUUGCUGGAGGUAUCAGAAGUGCGAAUGCUGACAUAAGUAACGAUAAAGCGGGUGAAAAGCCCGCUCGCCGGAAGACCAAGGGUUCCUGUCCAACGUUAAUCGGGGCAGGGUGAGUCGACCCCUAAGGCGAGGCCGAAAGGCGUAGUCGAUGGGAAACGGGUUAAUAUUCCCGUACUUGGUGUUACUGCGAAGGGGGGACGGAGAAGGCUAUGUUGGCCGGGCGACGGUUGUCCCGGUUUAAGCGUGUAGGUGUGUGUUCCAGGUAAAUCCGGUUCACUUUAACACUGAGGCGUGACGACGAGGCACUACGGUGCUGAAGCAACAAAUGCCCUGCUUCCAGGAAAAGCCUCUAAGCAUCAGGUAACAUCAAAUC